GUUUUAACAAUGUGUACCGAAUUAUAGUAGACAAAAAUACCCUCAUUUGUCAUGGAUUCUAAGUUUUAAGGUUAAGGAUAUUUAAAUAAUUUUCAUUCUCAAAACUAAAAAGAAAAAAAAAGAAACCUCCAAACCCUUACUCACCUCCCUCAUUCCUCUCAACCCUUUCUCUUUCAUCUCUUUCACUUCAACAUUUUCUCUGUCAUCCUUGCUAUUGUCCCAAUUGAAAAAAAAAUCAGAAACCCUUCGUCAUCAAAGAUAUUUUCUCUCUCAUCUCAACAUUUUCUCUAUCAUCCCUCCAACAUUUUUUCUCUCAUCUCAACCCAAU
This 328-nucleotide long non-coding RNA is filed under the name Vigna radiata. RNAcentral describes it as "long non-coding RNA (VRAD_LNC005681)". Lineage: Eukaryota; Viridiplantae; Streptophyta; Magnoliopsida; Fabales; Fabaceae. The record is from RNAcentral.